AGCGAUAAAAAUCAUCCGUAGGCGAUGUACAUAUCUUUAGCUGUCGUCUUGGAAAAAAUUUCAGGAGAGAGCUCUUCCGGAAUGAUCUGGGCGGAGACCGGAGGUACGUCGUGCCCCUCUUUCGGUUCAACCAAGAAUCAAAGAGGAUUAAAUUCACAAGAUACUCGACUACAUGGGGAUGCUGUGGGAGUUGAAUGCUCGGUCUUAUCUAAUUCGGCUCACUGUUAACAAUUGCUGGAAGUGGCGCAAGGAUAUUUAUUUCCAUUUUCUGUGAUCAGGUUUUCCUGCGCUUUCCGAUGUAACGCACGUUAUGUAAUAGCUAAAAGUCGUGAUUGUGAGUGCGGCGUUGGACAGACCUCAGCGUGGGAGCAUCUUGUUUUAGUUUCUGUCUGUAGGCAGGGAUCAACAAAAUGGAGUCGUGGUCAGCUUUUCCGAAAGGGGGGCGGGGCAGGGCCUUAUAUGCGUCGCGGAAGUUAGAGUAACAAUGAUCCAAGGUUUUUCCACCCCUGGUUGCGCAAUCGAUAUGCUGAUAAAAUUUAGGGAGUCUUGUUUUCAGAUUAGCCUUGUUAAAAUCCCCAGCUACAAUGAAUGCAGCCUCCGGAUAAAUGGUUUCCAGUUUGCAAAGAGUUAAAUAAAGUUUGUUCAGAGCCAUCGAUGUGUCUGCUUGGGGGGGGAUAUAUACGGCUGUGAUUAUAAUCAAAGAGAAUUCUCUUGGUAGAUAAUGCGGUCUACAUUUGAUUGUGAGGAAUUCUAAAUCAGGUGAACAGAAGGAUUUGAGUUCCUGUAUGUUUCUUUCAUCACACCAUGUCUCGUUAGCCAUAAGGCAUACGCCCCCGCCCCUCUUCUUACCAGAAAGGUGUUUGUUUCUGUCGGCGCAAUGCGUGGAGAAACCCGUUGGCUGCACCGCUUCGGAUAGCGUCUCUCCAGUGAGCCAUGUUUCCGUGAAGCACAGAACGUUACAGUCUCUGAUGUCCCUCUGGAAUGCUACCCUUGCUCGGAUUUCAUCAAUCUUGUUGUCAAGAGACUGGACAUUGGCAAGAAGAAUGCUAGGGAGUGGUGCACGGUGUGCCCGUCUCCGGAGUCUGACCAGAAGACCGCCUCGUUUCCCUCUUUUUCGGAGUCGUUUUUUUGGGUCGCUGCAUGCGAUCCAUUCCGUUGUCCUGUUUGUAAGGCAGAACACAGGAUCCGCGUCGCGAAAAACAUAUUCUUGGUCGUACUGAUGGUGAGUUGACGCUGAUCUUAUAUUCAGUAGUUCUUCUCGACUGUAUGUAAUGAAACCUAAGAUGACCUGGGGUACUAAUGUAAGAAAUAACACGUAAAAAAACAAAAAACUGCAUAGUUUCCUAGGAACGCGAAGCGAGGCGGCCAUCUCUGUCGGCGCCGGAAGAUUGGUUGCUCAGCGUACCUAAGUUGUUCCUCACCAAUCUUAGCCCUGUCUUUCGCAACCAAUCGGAGCGCUUGGAAAUGCACAUCUGGACACUGCACCCGCCCGCUCUGGUCAGAGUAUUAUCGUAGUCCGAAGGGAGAAGACAUUUCUGAGGACUUUUAUUGAAUUUUAUACCAAAACAGCCACACUGUUGUAAUAGUGUGAUGUGUAACUUCUGACACACUCCAUUCUUAGUAAAGUAAUGUUUUUCGUUUGAAAAUUCUAACAUUCACAUUUGUUUGCAGUGACAUGUCUACCAAAACCAAAGUGUGGAUUUCAGUCACUCAUUUGAACAGUGCAUAGACAGCCUACAGGGUAAGGAAACCAAUAUGUAAAUACAUAACUUGCUGAACAUUAAAGUUGAAGGAUUAUUACUUUUAAAGGCCUAAUAAGAGUGCGGCCAAACAAAGAAAAGUAUGAAAAUAGUCUGCUGUUAAAAGACUGCAGCAAUGGAAAUAUUUAAAGGUUAGGAUAUACAUAUAUAAUUUCUACCUGAAAAUACCUCUACAAACACAUAUCACUUCGCUGACCAUCAACACUGUGGCCCCACAAGGGUUCGUGCUCAGCCCCCUCCUGUAGUCCCUGUUCACCCACAACUGCGUGGCCAUGCAGAUGACACAACAGUAGUGGGCUUGAUCACCAACAACGACGAGACAGCCUACAGGGAGGGAGGCGAGAGCCCUCGGAGUGUGGUGUCAGGAAAACAACUUCUCACUCAACGUCAACGUCAACGUAACAACGGAGAUGAUCGUGGACUUCAAGAAACAGCAGAGGGAGCAGCCCCUAUCCACAUCGAAGGGAUAGUAGUGGAAAAGGUGGAAAGUUUUAAUUUCCUCAGCGUACACAUCACAGACAAACUGAAAUGGUCCACCCACACAGACAGUGUGGUAAAGAAGGCGCAACAGCGCUCCUUCAACCUCAGGGGGCUGAUAAAAUUUGGCUUGUCACCCAAAACCAUGACAAACUUUUACAGAUGCACAAUCGAUUCCAUCCUGUCUGGCUGUAUCACAGCCUGGUACGGCAACUGCACUGCCCUCAACCGCAAUCUCUCUUGAGAUGGUGGUGCAGUCUGCACAACUCAUCACCAGGGGCAAACUACCUGCCCUCCAUGACACUUAAAGCACACUUAUGUCACAGGAAGGCAAAAUAGAUCAUCAUGGAAAACAAAAACCCGAGCCACUUCCUGUUCACACUACCAUCCAGAAGUCGAGGUCAGAGCAGGUUCAUCAAAGCUGGACCGAGAGAUUGAAAAACAGCUUCUAUCUCAAGGCCAUAUGACUGCUAAACAGCAUUCACUAACCACUUUAAAUAAUGCCACUUUAGUAAUGUUUACAUAUCUUACAUUACUCAUAUCAUAUGUACGUACUGCAUUUUAUACCAUCUAUUGCGUAUUGCUUAUGCCGCUCGGCCAUCGCUCAUCCAUAUAUUUAUAUGUACAUAUUCUCAUUCACCCCUUUAGAUGUGUGUAUUAGGUAGAUGUUGGGGAAUUGCUAGAUUACUUGUUAGAUAUUACUGCAUUGUUGGAAUUAUAAGCUCAAGCAUUUCACUACACUCGCAUUAACAUCUGCUAACCAUGUGUAUGUGACCAAUACAAUUUGAUUUGACAUUGAUUUGAUUUGAUUUGAGUAGUAAUGAAGGAAUAAAAAUCCCCCAGAGAAAAACGGUCUAGCUGUUGUUGUUAUUAUUUAGUCCCAUAUUCCUAGAACACAAUGACUAUAUCAAGAUUGUGACUCUACAUACUUGUUGGAUGCAUUUGCAGAUUGUUUUGGGGCUGCUCUCACCACCCACCUCAGCCCACACUGCCACAAGAAGGCAUCAUGCACCUGAGUAAGAUGAGUUGCCUCCACACCUCUCUCAUCUAAGAGACCACCAGCCCUGCUCCAGGCCUCCUCAGUGGUCAGGGAGUGACCACACCCUCACCAGUUGGGAGCUGAUGAGGGAAUAUGAGUACCUAUGUCACGAGCAGCAAGAGACCAGGAGGGGGUACUCAGGCUAUAUCUUCCUGUUUACUGAUUUGUUUAUAUUUGUGAGGUUGACAACAUUAGCUAAAUAUUUGCAAUUCAACACUUCCUCACAUCUUUCCAAAUAGUAUUUGUGAGUAAAAUGUUAGAUAUAUUUACUUAAACAUCCUGUGUUGUGUGCUUUUUCUUUUACCACUGUCACGCCUACUACUGCUCCCUCCGCGAUCGUUAUCGCUGGUCUACUAACCACUGGUCCUGGCAACCCACAUUGUGCACUCCUGCACCCCAUCAUUACGCACUGCUGGACUUCAUCACCGCCCUGACAACUCUCCCUUUAUAUAGCAAUCAGUAGCCUCAGUCAUCAGGCAGUACUGUUUUUUUUCAUGUUCAGUACGCUUCUCCUGUUUUGGUUUAUCUGCUUUUCUCAUCAUUAAACUUACCUUCUCCACCUGCUUCCUGACUAGCAUAUACAGAAUACUGACUCAGAAAAAAUGGAAACAGCAGAAGAUAACAGCAUCUUCCAGACGGUUGAGGAACAGGGUCUUCUACUCCACCAAUACCACCAGCUGUCACUGCUGUGUACGACCUUGAAGAAGGUCCUCCACGUUCUCCACCGCCUCGACACCACCAGCUGACUCUACUGGGUACGGUCAUGAAGAUUGUCCUCUGUGUUCUCCAACGCCUCAAAUUCACCAGCUGGCUCUACUGGGUACGGCCAUGAAGGAGGUCCUACACGGUCUCUACCGCCUCGACACCACCAGCAAGGUUCUCCAAACCUCUGAUGUAGGGCCUCCUACCACGGGUCGUCACAGUGCCAGUCCUCCAGCCAUCCCUAGACGUCCGCCCAGGUCAGCGAUGCCUGACUCUCUCUUCCUGAGAAGUAUGACGGCACUACAUCGAAAUGCCGUGGCUUCCUACUCCAGUGCUCCCUCUAUUUCGCCUAUCAGACGGGAGCCCCAACCACCGAGUGAUCCAAGGUUGCCACGGUCAUUUCCCUGCAGACCGGACGGUCGUUGGAAUGGGCUACGGCCAUCUGGGAGAAGGGAGAGGAGGAGCUGGGUUCCUAUGAGAAGUUCAUGGUUCUGUUCAGGGCGGUCUUCGACCAUCCUCCAGAGGGCAGAGAUAGAGGUGAGAGACUUUUCCAACUCCAGCAGGGUGCCCAGAUCACUGUGGAUUAAGCCCUCACCUUUCGGAGUGUGGCAGCCUCCAGCGGAUGGAAUGAGCCGGCGCUCUGCACUCUGUUCCGCAGUGGACUGCAUGAAGAGGUCCAGACGGAGUUGGCAUGUCGUGAUGACAACAUAUCCUUGGAUGCUCUCAUUCCGAUAGCCAUCCGUCUGGAUAACCUACUUUGGGAGCGCUGGUGUCCACCAGAGUCAGCUACUGACCACCGGUCCUGGCAACCAUCAUUGUGCACACCUGGACAUCAUCACCAACCUGUUACUCUCCCUUCAUGUAGACUCUGUCAUUAGGCAGUAUUGGUUUUGAUCACGUUCAGUACGCUUCUCCUGUUUCGUUAAACCUGCUUGUUCUCAUCUUUAAACUUACCUUCUGCCCCUGCUUCCAUACUCCAAGUGUAAACGUUACAACCAUUGAUAUGUUCCAGUCCAUUAUCACACCUUAAAUCUCUUCUUAUUGUGAGACAUUACACAGGUCACUCAAAACAUUGAAAAUAGCUCUCGCUUUAGAUUAGGUACUGCAAAAAUAUUUAAUCAGUAAAUGUAAAUAUUAACGCCCCAAAUGUGACAUUCACACAAUCACAGGAUUUUGUGCAAGGUAUGUUACAAUACAGUAGUUAGACUAUUAUAGAUGGACCUUGUGCCCAGGGUCUGGGGGCUACGGUUGAAGCUGUUGUGGAGGGCUAACUUGAUUAAAUGGUUAAUCAUGAAUUAUUCCUAAAGAGUUGUCAUUUUUUUGUGAAAUAUUAUUUUGUAUGUCCUUUUGAGAUGAUUGAUUCAACUAAAUGAAAUGGAUAUUACAUUUAUGUCAUGCCCUGAUCUGUUUCACCUGUCCUUGUGAUUGUCUCCACCCCCUCCAGGUGUCGCUGUCACGACUUCUGCCAAAGUCGUUGCCUCUCCUUGUUCGGGCGGUGCUCGGAGGUGGACGUCACCGGUCUUCUAGCCAUCAUCGAUCCAUUUUUCAUUUUCCAUUGGUUUUGUCUUGUCUUUCCACAUACCUGUUUUCAAUCCCAUUCAUUACCUGUUGUGUAUUUAACCCUCUGUUUCCCCUCAUGUCUUUGUCAGAUAUUGUUUAUUGUCAGUGUAGUGUUAUUUGUAUAGGUGCGCGACAGGUCUUCGUACCCAUAUUUGUUUAUAUUCAUUUUUCUUAUUAGUGUUAUGGAGCAUGUUACUUGGACAUUUAUUAAAAUACUCUAUUUUGCACUCCGUUAGACUCUCCUGCGCCUGACUUCCCUGCCACCUACACACACAUCUCUGACAGAAUCUCUGACCAAAUAUAAUAUAUGAAGUCAGCAGGAGAGGACACUACGCUCAUGGAGAUGGAGGAACGCGUCCGGGAACAAGCGGAGGAGAUUGACUGUUUGAGCGCCGUCAUGGAUCGACAUUGUCCAGAAAAUGGAUCGCUGGGAGAGACAGGAUACAAUGGAGAUACUGCCGGCUGCCAGGGUUUCCUCCUUAAACUGAGUUUGUAUCUGGCCACGGUCUCCCCAGUACCAUCGGACCGUGAGAAGAGUUGCGCCCUCAUCUCAUGCCUCACCGGGAAAGCCCUGGAGUGGGCCAGCUCUGUGUGUAGAGAGGAGGAUGCGACGUUGGACCAUUUUGAGGAGUUCACCCGCCAUUUCCGGAUAGUAUUCGCGGGUGAGCGCCUCUAUCAUCUGAGGCAGGAGACGAGGAGUGCACAGGAGUUUGCUUUGGAGUUUAGGAUAAGUUACCUGUGCAAGGUUCCCAGUUCUCAACACUCGUUAGCCCUCAGUACCUAGCACUAAGUCAUUGGUUUCCAGCUGCACUAGGUCAUUGGUCUCCAGCUGCACUAGGUCCUUAGUCUCCAGCUGCACUUGGUCAUUGGUCUCAAGCUGCACCAGGUCAUUGGUCUCCAGCUACACUAAGUCCUUAGUCUCCAGCUGCACUAGGUCAUUGGUCUCCAGCUACACUAGGUCAUUGGUCUCCAGAGUCGUUCUCCCUGUCAGGUUCAGAGUCAUUCUCCCUGGCAGGUCUAGUGUCGUUCUCCCUGUCAAGUUCAGAGUCAUUUCCCAUGGCAGAUUCAGAGUCGUUCUCACUGUCUCCAGCUGUAGUCUACCCUCAGUACACUGCUCUGCCAUGCUAUAGGUUCAAGCAGUCAGCUCCCUCAGUGCUACAUGCCAAACCACCUGCCCUAGUUCUAGGCCUUGGGUCUCCCGUCUCGCUACAGCCCUGCCUGCACCCAGUCACCUAUAUUAGCACUAGCCUAUAGUAGUUCCCUGCUUGGCUAGUUUUGCGGCCUCCCACUAUACCUGGCUUGCAGUCAUCAGAUUUAGUAGUGGGUUCCAAGUCCCCUGCCCUGAUAGGCCGUCAGCUCCCCGACAUGGGGAACGACCAUUCCCUUACCUGGGGGGCCUGAUGUCUCUAGCUGCCUCCAGAUCCCUGAUGAUCCUCGCCCAGGGGUCCCCACAAGCUCCACCAUGGGAGUUAGCACUUUUAGCAGUGGUGAAAGAGUCACCAGCCGCAGCCAGUGAGCUGCCAAUAACUGUUUUUGCCAGCAUGCCAAUUCAUCUGCCACAGUAGGAGAGCCACCAGCUUCAGCUUCAGCCAACCUCUGGCAUUACACUCAGCGUCUAAGGAUGGGGACCAGCUGCCCUGCACCAGCUGAGUUAGAGGGCCCUCCCCCACCCGAAUUGCAUUCCAUGAAGCGACCAUGGACUGUCUCCGAGUAUCUAUGUACCGCCCUUUUCGGCAGGGUAGUGUCAUGACUGUCCUGCUUGGCUCAGGUUACCAAUGCCCACAAUCCUGCAGAGAGAUCUCACCCCCACCAGAGGAGAAGGGAUCUCAAGGGAUAGGAAGAUGGGGGGGAUUUAUGACACGUCACGCCAAUUAUAAAUCUAAGGCAGGAGACCAAAUUCCUUUGUCCACUCACUAUGGAGAACUAUGUAGAACAUUAUCUUGCAAUAAAUUGACUUUGGGACAAGGGGUUUCGUCAGCCACAAAGAUGAUAGAUGGAAUAGGAAAAUUCAUGUCAUUUUUGUUAUGUUAUUAAAAGCCAAAGGACGCCGUUAUAACAAAAACGUUGUAACUUUAAGAGUUUUCCUAAUAUGUGCUUGAUGUUUAUACAUUGUACGUUGUGUGGAAAAUGUCCAAAUCAAAGAGAAUGAUUUGGUAAAGAUGAAAUGUGAAGUUAGUUUUCUAAAAUUGGAUUUGAGUCAAAUGUAGACCUUGCCUCAUAACUAGGUACGCCCAAGAAUUGCCCCAAAGGCGGAAGACGCCAACUUCCGACACAAGGGUAUAAGACAUGUGAGUUAAUUAAUAAUUAACAUAUCAGACUAAGUGACCCGAGCUGCAGCCAAGGUCUGAGUAGUCAACGAACCCAAAACGCAACAUGAGGUCGAAGACAACGGAACCCUUUUCUACCCAUGCUACGGAUGAGUAGCUACAUCUAAGCGGGUGAAUUGAAGCUGGACCACCUGGUCUCCACUCCCCAUCGAAGCGUGUAUCUACACUGUUUUCAUUCCUAAUCUGUGAGCCCUGAGCUAUAGGGCUGGCUGUCCUCAGAAGACCCCUUUCAGAACAAGGGUGAGGAAUCAGACCACUAAGCCAAAAGGACACUGACAUUGUGAGGACAACCAGAGAGUUGCACCAGAGAAGUGCGCCAUUGAGAAGCCUAAACGGCCCACGUAAUUACAACAUUAUAUUCUGACCCAUAAGAGCGGCAGUUCGGGGAAAGGUUAGGUUUAAAAUAAGCAUGGCUGACAAAUGCACCCAAAUGUAUGUUUCUCUUGUGUACUUUCUCUUUUUCUUUCUCUUUGAAAUGCCCAUUUUGGGUAACACGCGUCAUAGUGUGUUGUCCCUUUAUACAAAGUUCUAAUCAAUAGCCUAGACUGUGUUUUUGUGUAUGUGUAUCUUUUAUUAUCAUUUUAGCUAAUAAUUAUCCAAAAUUGGUGUGGUACAAACUCAUUGGUGGGACUCGGGUUUGUGCAGAUUCCCUGAUUAUACGACAUUCCGAAUGAGACUGUAGAGGAAAUUGAUUAAUUAGUGACUGUUGUAAAAUCGAUAUUCUGAUAUUCUUUGAGUUAAUUUUGGAAAUAGAAACUCAAUAAAACAAAUUUUUCCAUGGUGCCCCAGGUUAACCUC
Long non-coding RNA from Oncorhynchus nerka (sockeye salmon), 8663 nucleotides. RefSeq lists it as uncharacterized. Lineage: Eukaryota; Metazoa; Chordata; Actinopteri; Salmoniformes; Salmonidae. The record is from RefSeq and is a predicted model, not a curated record. The transcript has 2 exons.